CUCCCUCCACGCAUGAACAACCUCUCGGCUACAGGCUGAGGUGACACUGGUGGCAACGGCGAUGAGUCGGAAUGGGGAGAACUGCGGGCGCUGGCCACAGCCAUGUGCAGCAAGGGCUUGCUAUUGUGCUAUACUCCAGGAGCUAGGAGGAUAUACCACCAUUUCUUGCUGGUGGAGGGAGGCUUACUGAAGGCGACAAUUGAGCAGCAGAGGCAAGAAUGAAGCAACAAAACUAAAAGGCCGCUCCUGUCCUAUGUGCGUGUCUUCAAGGGCUCGUCCAUGCUUUUCUCAGCCUAUCGGUGUUGGAUUCAUCGUACUGCCAAGUAACAUCCAUCACUUUUUGGCUGUGCAGGUAAGAUAUGGUGAUAAACAAAGGGAUGUGCGCAGGCUCUCUUCGGCGAAGACGCACAAGUUUACAUCAAAGGAGGCCGAUUCGCUGCGAGAAUUGAAGACACAGGAUUUUCGAAGAAGUUUCCUGCUGGGAUGCUAUUGGCCUCUUUGUUUCCUUACCGGUCAACAACAUCAGUACAACGUGGUUUCUUCAUGCGCAGCUGGAAGCUGGGAAUAUACCCCCGGUCUGGUCAUCGAUCCCCUUCGUCUCAUCGUACACUUGUUGCCACCCAGUCACCCUCCUUGGGCCAUGUUUAGUUGCCCAAUUUUAGAGUGUCAAAAUCACUGUAAGCACACUGUAGCGUUUCGUUUGUAUUUGUGAAUUAUUGUUCAAACAUUGACUAAUUAGGUUCAAAAGAUUCGUCUCGCAAA
This is a long non-coding RNA of Setaria italica (foxtail millet), 762 nucleotides long. RefSeq lists it as uncharacterized. NCBI's taxonomy places the organism in Eukaryota, Viridiplantae, Streptophyta, Magnoliopsida, Poales, Poaceae. The transcript has 2 exons. The record is from RefSeq and is a predicted model, not a curated record.